UCUUCAUGGCAACCCCCUGAGGGAGGCCUUGCAGGUUCUGUGUUACAGAUAAAGGAACGGGGUCGGUGAGGUUAAGAAAGUUGCCUGCAUCCUCCACAGCUAAUAGGUGGCAAACCUGGGAUUCUAGCCAGGUGCGGCUGACGUGGGAGCCUGGACCCUGUCCAUUCUGCCAUGGUGACAAUCAAUUGGACACGGUCAUAAGAAGGAAACUGGCCACCGUGAACUUCAGCAGAAGCACGAUUACCGCAUUUAUUCACCGGAAAAGCAUCUCUAAGACCACUGCAUGGAGACCCAGGUCCCGGCCUCGGGUUGUUCCUAAGCUGUUGGCAGGAGGGAGCCACCCAUAAGGAAGGAGAGGAUUUACAUCGAGAAGCACAGAGAAGGAGGCACAAUUGAAGGCACCCAGUGGGAAAGUGGGGUCUGUAGUGACAUCCAGAUGUGAGGGGCGUGAGCCGUGGCCUCGAUGAGAGAGCAGAGCCUCUCCAGGUGGACAAGCUGUUUGGCCAGUGCCUCAGUUUCCUGAUCUAUUCAAUGGGGGAGACACUAACAUCCAAAGGGUGAUAGGGAAGAGUGAGCCAUGGAUGGAAAGUUCCCAGUCCAACGCCCAGCACCAGUAAGUGGUCAGUAAAUUCUGGCU
Molecule: long non-coding RNA, 637 nt
Organism: Neofelis nebulosa (Clouded leopard)
Lineage: Eukaryota; Metazoa; Chordata; Mammalia; Carnivora; Felidae
Exons: 3
Source: RefSeq, a predicted model, not a curated record